Molecule: ribosomal RNA, 436 nt
Filed under: uncultured soil bacterium
Lineage: Bacteria
Description: bacterial SSU rRNA
Rfam family: Bacterial small subunit ribosomal RNA
Source: RNAcentral
AGAUUGAACGCUGGCGGCAGGCCUAACACAUGCAAGUCGAGCGGCAGCACGGGUACUUGUACCUGGUGGCGAGCGGCGGACGGGUGAGUAAUGCCUAGGAAUCUGCCUGGUAGUGGGGGAUAACGCUCGGAAACGGACGCUAAUACCGCAUACGUCCUACGGGAGAAAGCAGGGGACCUUCGGGCCUUGCGCUAUCAGAUGAGCCUAGGUCGGAUUAGCUAGUUGGUGAGGUAAUGGCUCACCAAGGCGACGAUCCGUAACUGGUCUGAGAGGAUGAUCAGUCACACUGGAACUGAGACACGGUCCAGACUCCUACGGGAGCAGCAGUGGGGAAUAUUGGACAAUGGGCGCAAGCCUGAUCCAGCAAUGCGCGUGUGUGAAGAAGCUUCGGUGUAAGCUACUUAAGUUAGGAAGAAAAACUACGACUACUAACAAC